GCCCACCGGAGAUCGAUUGAGCGGCGGCUUGGUAAGGCGUAGGUCACCGGUUCAACCCCGGUCGUGGGCUCCA
Molecule: transfer RNA, 73 nt
Filed under: Chloroflexota bacterium
Lineage: Bacteria; Bacillati; Chloroflexota
Description: Chloroflexi bacterium tRNA-Thr
Source: RNAcentral